UGGGCAGCCGCCUAAAGUGUGAUCGGUAAUUGGGCCUGAAGUCGUAACAAGGUAGCUGUAGGAGAACCUGCGGCUGGAUCACCUCCUUUCUAAGGAGCUUCUUUUCGCCACGGAUCAAAACGUGGUUGCGAAAUUAGUUCCCAGGUCGAAAGGAAUCGCCCCGACGCGCAAGCGCGGAGGGAAACGUAUUGCCUCUUGUCUUUCCUCUUCAGUACUCAAGGCUCGAGCGCCGCUCGUUCGUUGACAAUUGAAUACGGGUAAGUAAAUGAGAUGCACGACGUGCGCUUCUGAAAAAGAGCGUGCACAUGCAGAUCGCAUGAGAUC
RNAcentral lists this unclassified non-coding RNA (324 nucleotides) under uncultured organism. Its description in RNAcentral is "partial contains 16S ribosomal RNA, 16S-23S ribosomal RNA intergenic spacer, and 23S ribosomal RNA". The stretch from base 1 to 89 matches the Rfam family "Bacterial small subunit ribosomal RNA", at positions 1446 to 1533 of the family's 1533-position model. The record is from RNAcentral.